CGGGGUAUGGGCCAGCGGCUAGGCCGCCUGAUUUGGGAUCAGGACAUCUUCGUGGGUUCGAGUCCCACUACCCCGA
This 76-nucleotide transfer RNA is filed under the name Candidatus Omnitrophota bacterium. RNAcentral's name for it is "tRNA-Pro". It matches the Rfam family "tRNA". Rfam says of the family: Transfer RNA (tRNA) molecules are approximately 80 nucleotides in length. Their secondary structure includes four short double-helical elements and three loops (D, anti-codon, and T loops). Lineage: Bacteria; Pseudomonadati; Candidatus Omnitrophota. The record is from RNAcentral.